Molecule: non-coding RNA, 633 nt
Organism: Brassica napus (rape)
Lineage: Eukaryota; Viridiplantae; Streptophyta; Magnoliopsida; Brassicales; Brassicaceae
Source: Rfam
CUCGAGUUGUCUUUCAUGUCUAGACCAUUUGUGAGAAGGGAUUUUUUGUUUGCACCGUUCACCCCACUUUCAAUCUGUAGUGAGUAUUAAGGAAAAUAGCUUGUUCAACAUAUCACACUACUCUUUUAGAAACAAUACUAUAUUUUAGAUGCUUUUCCAGCUUGAUAUACGUUGUUUUGUUAUGUAUAUCUGUAUUAUCCCGGCUACCAAAACGUUAAGAAAUAAGGUGAACAUCCUAAAACCUGCAUCCAAUUAGAAAGGUCUAGGUCACAGAUAUUACUUGUUAUCUCUUGAUUAAGCUAUUUUAUUUCUAUCAGCAUGAUCAGAUCAUUCAGGAGUUAAGUAUAAACUAAAAUACAUUAAGUCCAUUCAUGACAUUUCUGGAUGCUGCAUACAUAAUAUUUUCCUUGUUUUUGGACUAUGCCACACUUCGGACAGACAUUUUGCCUAAGAGAUGUCAAACCUCUGUCUGGAGUGUUAGAGGUAUUUCAUGAUAGCUAAGAACUUGAAUCUUGCACUACUUAGCUACACUAGAUUACUUCAUAGUAAAUAACUUGGGGAGUGGGGGAAGGUGCUGGGUUAUUAUUCCCUUCUCAUCGAUGGUCUAGAUGUGCGAGGUGACUCUCAUUGAGG